GACGAACGCCGGCGGCGUGCCUAAUACAUGUAAGUUGAACGCUGAAGACUGGUACUUGUACUAGUUGGAUGAGUAGCGAACGGGUGAGUAACGCGUGGGUAACCUACCUCUUAGCGGGGGACAACUAUUGGAAACGAUAGCUAAUACCGCAUAACAAUACCUAACACAUGUUAAGUAUUUGAAAGCACCAACUGGUGCACUAAGAGAUGGACCCGCGUUGUAUUAGCUAGUUGGUAGUGUAAUGGACUACCAGGGCGAUGAUACAUAGCCGACCUGAGAGGGUGAUCGGCCACAUUGGGACUGAGACACGGCCCAAACUCCUACGGGAGGCAGCAGUAGGGAAUCUUCGGCAAUGGGGGCAACCCUGACCGAGCAACGCCGCGUGAGUGAAGAAGGUUUUCGGAUCGUAAAACUCUGUUGUUAGAGAAGAACGUCAGUGAGAGUGGAAGGUUCACUGAGUGACGGUAUCUAACCAGAAAGGGACGGCUAACUACGUGCCAGCCGCCGCGGUAA
RNAcentral lists this ribosomal RNA (513 nucleotides) under uncultured bacterium. RNAcentral's name for it is "partial 16S ribosomal RNA". It matches the Rfam family "Bacterial small subunit ribosomal RNA", at positions 28 to 523 of the family's 1533-position model. The record is from RNAcentral.